Molecule: unclassified non-coding RNA, 187 nt
Filed under: uncultured Ascomycota
Lineage: Eukaryota; Fungi; Ascomycota
Description: sequence contains ITS2
Source: RNAcentral
UCACCCGUCAAGCCUGGCUUGUUGUUGGACCCUUCGGCGUGUUAUGCGGUCGAAGGUCCGAAAGAAAAUGGCGGCGUCGAGUUUACCCCACGUGCAAUGAGCUUAAUUUAACGGCACGCACGUCGGUAGGCUAACCGGCCCGGUCGUUGUGACUGCGUUUAAUCUCGCGGUCACCCCCCACUUCCAA